Molecule: long non-coding RNA, 224 nt
Organism: Pan troglodytes (chimpanzee)
Lineage: Eukaryota; Metazoa; Chordata; Mammalia; Primates; Hominidae
Exons: 2
Source: RefSeq, a predicted model, not a curated record
GUCAGCCAGGGCUGCAGUCAUCUGAAGGCUUGACUGGGGCUGAGAGAGGAGGAUCUACUCUCAAGGUGGAUCACUCACUGGCAGGUGAAGACACAACAGUAAGACAGCCAUCUGCAAGCCAGGAAGACAGCCCUCACAAGGAAUCAAAUCAGCCAGAACCUUGAUCUUGGACUUCCCAGCCUCCAGAACUGUGAAAAAUAAAAUAAAUUUUGUUGUUUAAGCUA